Molecule: ribosomal RNA, 418 nt
Filed under: uncultured bacterium
Lineage: Bacteria
Description: bacterial SSU rRNA
Rfam family: Bacterial small subunit ribosomal RNA
Source: RNAcentral
GGAAUAUUGGUCAAUGGGCGGAAGCCUGAACCAGCCAAGUCGCGUGAAGGAUGAAGGUUCUAUGGAUUGUAAACUUCUUUUAUUCGAGGGUAAAGGACGUUACGUGUAGCGUUUUGCAAGUAUCGAAUGAAUAAGCAUCGGCUAACUCCGUGCCAGCAGCCGCGGUAAUACGGAGGAUGCGAGCGUUAUCCGGAUUUAUUGGGUUUAAAGGGUGCGUAGGCGGAUAGUUAAGUCAGUGGUGAAAGCGUGCGGCUCAACCGUACCGAGCCAUUGAAACUGGUUAUCUUGAGUGCAAACGAGGUAGGCGGAAUGUGACGUGUAGCGGUGAAAUGCUUAGAUAUGUCCCAGAACUCCGAUUGCGAAGGCAGCUUACCAGCAUGCGACUGACGCUGAGGCACGAAAGCGUGGGUAUCAAACA